This 468-nucleotide ribosomal RNA is filed under the name uncultured bacterium. Its description in RNAcentral is "partial 16S ribosomal RNA". It matches the Rfam family "Bacterial small subunit ribosomal RNA", at positions 28 to 507 of the family's 1533-position model. The record is from RNAcentral.
GACGAACGCUGGCGGCGUGCUUAACACAUGCAAGUCGAACGGUGAUGCUCCAGCUUGCUGGAGUGGAUCAGUGGCGAACGGGUGAGUAACACGUGAGCAACCUGCCCCAGACUCUGGAAUAAGCGCUGGAAACGGCGUCUAAUACUGGAUACGAAACUGGCCCGCAUGGGCAUGGUUUGGAAAGUUUUUCGGUUUGGGAUGGGCUCGCGGCCUAUCAGCUUGUUGGUGAGGUAAUGGUUCACCAAGGCGACGACGGGUAGCCGGCCUGAGAGGGCGACCGGCCACACUGGGACUGAGACACGGCCCAGACUCCUACGGGAGGCAGCAGUGGGGAAUAUUGCACAAUGGGCGAAAGCCUGAUGCAGCGACGCCGCGUGAGGGAUGACGGCCUUCGGGUUGUAAACCUCUUUCAGCAGGGAAGAAGCGAAAGUGACGGUACCUGCAGAAGAAGCACCGGCUAACUACGUG